UGGGGAAUUUUGGACAAUGGGCUAAAGCCUGAUCCAGCAAUGCCGCGUGUGUGAAGAAGGCCUUCGGGCUGUAAAGCACUUUUGUCCGGAAAGAAAUCCUUGGCUCUAAUACAGUCGGGGGAUGACGGUACCGGAAGAAUAAGCACCGGCUAACUACGUGCCAGCAGCCGCGGUAAUACGUAGGGUGCAAGCGUUAAUCGGAAUUACUGGGCGUAAAGCGUGCGCAGGCGGUUUGCUAAGACCGAUGUGAAAUCCCCGGGCUCAACCUGGGAACUGCAUUGGUGACUGGCAGGCUAGAGUAUGGCAGAGGGGGGUAGAAUUCCACGUGUAGCAGUGAAAUGCGUAGAGAUGUGGAGGAAUACCGAUGGCGAAGGCAGCCCCCUGGGCCAAUACUGACGCUCAUGCACGAAAGCGUGGGGAGCAAAACAGGAUUAGAUACCCUGGUAGUCCACGCCCUAAAACGAUGUCAACUAGUUGUUGGGGAUUCAUUUCCUUAGUAACGUAGCUAACGCGUGAAGUUGACCGCCUGGGGAGUACGGUCGCAAGAUUAAAACUCAAAGGAAUUGACGGGGUCAUAGCUGUUUCCU
RNAcentral lists this ribosomal RNA (587 nucleotides) under uncultured bacterium. RNAcentral describes it as "partial 16S ribosomal RNA". It matches the Rfam family "Bacterial small subunit ribosomal RNA", at positions 355 to 1375 of the family's 1533-position model. The record is from RNAcentral.